CGAACGGGUGAGUAAUGCGUGACCAACCUGCCCCAUGCUCCAGAAUAGCUCUUGGAAACGGGUGGUAAUGCUGGAUGCUCCAACUUGACGCAUGUCUUGUUGGGAAAGUGUUUAGUGGCAUGGGAUGGGGUCGCGUCCUAUCAGCUUGUAGGCGGGGUAAUGGCCCACCUAGGCUUCGACGGGUAGCCGGCCUGAGAGGGUGAACGGCCACAUUGGAACUGAGAAACGGUCCAAACUCCUACGGGAGGCAGCAGGC
RNAcentral lists this ribosomal RNA (256 nucleotides) under uncultured Gardnerella sp. RNAcentral describes it as "partial 16S ribosomal RNA". It matches the Rfam family "Bacterial small subunit ribosomal RNA", at positions 99 to 354 of the family's 1533-position model. The record is from RNAcentral. Lineage: Bacteria; Bacillati; Actinomycetota; Actinomycetes; Bifidobacteriales; Bifidobacteriaceae.